Camelus dromedarius (Arabian camel) is the source of this 1272-nucleotide long non-coding RNA. RefSeq lists it as uncharacterized. The transcript has 5 exons. The record is from RefSeq and is a predicted model, not a curated record. NCBI's taxonomy places the organism in Eukaryota, Metazoa, Chordata, Mammalia, Artiodactyla, Camelidae.
CUGAGCAAUACAUAUUAGUCAGCAUUAUCUCCCUGAAGAGAAUGAAGAUGUCUGGAAAGAACUUCAGAGCUGAUAUUUUGAUAUCACACGAAUUCACAUGAAUAUUUUUUUUUUCUAGGAGGCUAUCUGUCCAUCAGAAGGUGUGAUCAUUACCAAGGUCCUAGGACCAGCCCCUGGGACAGAUUCUGGUGUUCACCCCUCAGGAGGCUCCUCAAAAUGCAACCUUAGCAGAAGAAGCCCCUCAUUUGGGGGCCACUUACUGACCUUUCUCCAGUCUAAGACCUUGAAAGGAAAGGGAUCAGAUGGACUGCUGGGUUUCACCUGGAAGGAAAAUUUCUCCCUGAAGCAGUACUUGCUCUCCUGCCCUGCAGGGUGAAUGAACGUGGUCCCUUGGGCUCACACCACCCACUUACUUUGGACCUUCAACAUGAGCCACACAGUUCCUCAGCUUGGGCUGCGGCUGGGAGCAUCUUUGCAGAACACUAGUAUGUCCAUACAGGUUCUGCAUCGUACAAUUCAAGGAGGACCGUUUCACAUCAUGGUUGAGCCACAAGGCAGCCUGUCUAGAACAGGAUAAGGGUGUGCACUGUGCAUCUGCAUUAUACAAAAACCAUGCCUCCCCAGUGACAGAGAUACCUGCUCAACUGUAAAGAUCAAUUUUUCCUCUUCUGGGGCCAGCAAUGUCAUUCCUUAAAAGAUGCAUAGUUUGGUAGAUUAAAGAUGGCUGCAAGUUUUUUGCCAUGCUUUUACUUAAGAGAUGGAGUCCGUUUCCCUCCCCUUGGAUCCGGGCUGGUCUUAUCACUUACUCUGUCAACAGAAGGAGGUAUAAGUGAUAACUUCCAAAGCUGCCCCUUGAAUGAUCUACAGCUUUAUGCCCUGGUAACACUCCCUCUUGGAAGCUAGCCAUCGUUCUGGAAGAAGCCCAAGCCAUGAGGAGAGGCCACAUGGAGAAGAAGCUAAUGCUAAUACACUCUGGCCAAUGAUCCCAGCUGAUUUUCAGUCCAACAGCCAGCACCACUGCCAGCCAUCUGAGUGAGCCAUCUUGGACAAUACAGCCUGGUUGUGGAGUCCCCAGAUGACUGCAACCCUAGAUGAUAUCACAGAGCAGAACAUCCUCGCUAAGCCUGGUCACCCACAGAACAUCGAGGGAAAAAAAUUAGUAAGUGUUAUUCUUUUAUAAAGCCACUGUGUUUUAGCAUGGUUUGUGAAUAGCAAUAAAUAACCCAAAACACAUAGUAUUCCAUCAUAUAGAUGUACCCUACUUUAUUUAAC